RNAcentral lists this ribosomal RNA (492 nucleotides) under uncultured bacterium. Its description in RNAcentral is "partial 16S ribosomal RNA". It matches the Rfam family "Bacterial small subunit ribosomal RNA", at positions 29 to 507 of the family's 1533-position model. The record is from RNAcentral.
AGUGAACGCUGGCGGUAGGCCUAACACAUGCAAGUCGAACGGCAGCACAGUAAGAGCUUGCUCUUACGGGUGGCGAGUGGCGGACGGGUGAGGAAUACAUCGGAAUCUACUUUUUCGUGGGGGAUAACGUAGGGAAACUUACGCUAAUACCGCAUACGACCUACGGGUGAAAGCAGGGGAUCUUCGGACCUUGCGCGAUUGAAUGAGCCGAUGUCGGAUUAGCUAGUUGGCGGGGUAAAGGCCCACCAAGGCGACGAUCCGUAGCUGGUCUGAGAGGAUGAUCAGCCACACUGGAACUGAGACACGGUCCAUACUCCUACGGGAGGCAGCAGUGGGGAAUAUUAGACAAUGGGCGCAAGCCUGAUCCAGCCAUACCGCGUGGGUGAAGAAGGCCUUCGGGUUGUAAAGCCCUUUUGUUGGGAAAGAAAAGCAGCAGGUUAAUACCCCGCUGUUCUGACGGUACCCAAAGAAUAAGCACCGGCUAACUUCGUG